Molecule: ribosomal RNA, 207 nt
Filed under: uncultured bacterium
Lineage: Bacteria
Description: partial 16S ribosomal RNA
Rfam family: Bacterial small subunit ribosomal RNA
Source: RNAcentral
CGCGUAGGCGGACUAUUAAGUCAGGGGUGAAAUCCCGGGGCUCAACCCCGGAACGGCCCUUGAUACUGGUAGUCUUGAGUUCGAGAGAGGUGAGUGGAAUUCCGAGUGUAGAGGUGAAAUUCGUAGAUAUUCGGAGGAACACCAGUGGCGAAGGCGGCUCACUGGCUCGAUACUGACGCUGAGGUGCGAAAGUGUGGGGAGCAAACA